GAAACUCCAAUUUCAUGAUGCCAGUAGAAAAAUGGGACCCAGUGCAAGACUGAUAUUUCCAGGUCCUCCAGCCACUAUAAAAUUUCUCAUUUUCUUGCAAGAAUGGCAGAAUCUCUUUCUCUUUUUGGAAGAACUCAUUGUCCCCAUGACCUGAACUGUUCCCCCAGCACCCCCUCUGCCGCCCUCAUGCCUCCUUUUACCUGCACACACCGUUUGGACCCGAAUUUGGUAAAGAGGAGGGACACUGGAUCCACUGAAGUGGUGAAGAGGUGUCAAGACAAAGUUUGGAGAAGCCUCAAAGAAGUACUCUAGGAACAAUGUGAUUGGGAACUUGUUAUUUCUGUUCUUCCCCCUCUCUUCGAACAAACCUCUGCGAAGAGCCAAACUCACAAAUACACCACCAUGAUGGCACUUAGAAAAACUGGAAACAUGGGACCAGACUGUAAGUCCUAUAGUAAGUUUUUUUUUUUUAAUCAUAUAAUGUCAAAGGAAAUGAUACCUUUAUAACUGCAACUUUGAUCAGUCGACGAGUAUUUUUUUCAAUGCUCUUCUACUCCAUGUCUGUAGGAAAACAAACCAAAGCUAAAAUGAAGUAUGUUUGGGAGGGGCUUGAUGUCAGCUUCCAGUUCCUGCUGGACUAGAACUCUGUGUGUUAAGGGAUUCUGGUCGAAGAUUCCUGAAAAGCCUUACAUAUUAAGUCCUGUCUGUGAAUGUGGUGCCACCUGAGUGCCCUGCUUCUCCUUCCUGAGAAGGAGAUCCAGGCAGGUGGCACCUUGCUGAGGCCAGGAGAAGCUGCUUCCCACCACCCCAUUCCUCCCUCUUGUGGGGGGAAGCCCCUUAGAAGAACGCUGAGGUUUGGGGCCUCCCCGCCGAGGUACCCAGUAGUAACUUCAACUAGCUAAUGAGUAAAGGACAGUAACAAGAAUAAAUCCCAAUGAGUUUAUUAAAAAACUGAAUCA
Molecule: long non-coding RNA, 959 nt
Filed under: Sus scrofa (pig)
Lineage: Eukaryota; Metazoa; Chordata; Mammalia; Artiodactyla; Suidae
Description: lncRNA (ENSSSCG00025018889.1)
Source: RNAcentral